CCUACGGGUGGCAGCAGUGGGGAAUAUUGGACAAUGGGGGCAACCCUGAUCCAGCCAUGCCGCGUGUGUGAAGAAGGCCCUCGGGUUGUAAAGCACUUUCAGUGAGGAAGAACGCCUGGUGGUUAAUACCCAUCAGGAAAGACAUCACUCACAGAAGAAGCACCGGCUAACUCCGUGCCAGCAGCCGCGGUAAUACGGAGGGUGCGAGCGUUAAUCGGAAUUACUGGGCGUAAAGCGCGCGUAGGUGGCUUGAUAAGUCGGUUGUGAAAGCCCCGGGCUCAACCUGGGAACGGCAUCCGGAACUGUCAAGCUAGAGUGCAGGAGAGGAAGGUAGAAUUCCCGGUGUAGCGGUGAAAUGCGUAGAGAUCGGGAGGAAUACCAGUGGCGAAGGCGGCCUUCUGGACUGACACUGACACUGAGGUGCGAAAGCGUGGGUAGCAAACAGGAUUAGAUACCCUAGUAGUC
Molecule: ribosomal RNA, 465 nt
Filed under: Vreelandella stevensii
Lineage: Bacteria; Pseudomonadati; Pseudomonadota; Gammaproteobacteria; Oceanospirillales; Halomonadaceae
Description: partial 16S ribosomal RNA
Rfam family: Bacterial small subunit ribosomal RNA
Source: RNAcentral